UGGGGAAUAUUGCGCAAUGGGCGAAAGCCUGACGCAGCGACGCCGCGUGAGGGAUGAAGGUCUUCGGAUCGUAAACCUCUGUCAGCAGGGAAGAACGGUCACUGUGCUAAUCAGCAGUGAAUUGACGGUACCUGCAAAGGAAGCACCGGCUAACUCCGUGCCAGCAGCCGCGGUAAUACGGAGGGUGCGAGCGUUAAUCGGAAUUACUGGGCGUAAAGCGCUCGUAGGCGGUAUGUCAAGUCAAGGGUGAAAUCCCCGCGCUCAACGUGGGAACUGCCUUUGAAACUGGCAAACUGGAGUGCUUGAGAGGAUAGUGGAAUUCCAGGUGUAGGAGUGAAAUCCGUAGAUAUCUGGAGGAACAUCAGUGGCGAAGGCGACUAUCUGGCACGUAACUGACGCUGAGGAGCGAAAGCGUGGGUAGCAAACAGG
RNAcentral lists this ribosomal RNA (429 nucleotides) under uncultured Desulfovibrio sp. RNAcentral describes it as "bacterial SSU rRNA". It matches the Rfam family "Bacterial small subunit ribosomal RNA", at positions 355 to 776 of the family's 1533-position model. Lineage: Bacteria; Pseudomonadati; Thermodesulfobacteriota; Desulfovibrionia; Desulfovibrionales; Desulfovibrionaceae. The record is from RNAcentral.